RNAcentral lists this ribosomal RNA (468 nucleotides) under uncultured bacterium. RNAcentral describes it as "partial 16S ribosomal RNA". It matches the Rfam family "Bacterial small subunit ribosomal RNA", at positions 28 to 507 of the family's 1533-position model. The record is from RNAcentral.
GACGAACGCUGGCGGCGUGCUUAACACAUGCAAGUCGAACGGAAAGGCCCUGCUUUUGUGGGGUGCUCGAGUGGCGAACGGGUGAGUAACACGUGAGUAACCUGCCCUUGACUUUGGGAUAACUUCAGGAAACUGGGGCUAAUACCGGAUAGGAGCUCCUGCUGCAUGGUGGGGGUUGGAAAGUUUCGGCGGUUGGGGAUGGACUCGCGGCUUAUCAGCUUGUUGGUGGGGUAGUGGCUUACCAAGGCUUUGACGGGUAGCCGGCCUGGGAGGGUGACCGGCCACCUUGGUCCUGCGGUACGGCCCAGACUCCUACGGGAGGCAGCAGUGGGGAAUAUUGCACAAUGGGCGGACGCCUGAUACAGCAACGCCGCGUGCGGGAUGACGGCCUUCGGGUUGUAAACCGCUUUCGCCUGUGACGAAGCGUGAGUGACGGUAAUGGGUAAAGAAGCACCGGCUAACUACGUG